UAUCUGAACCUUCGGGGAACGAUAACGGCGUCGAGCGGCGGACGGGUGAGUAAUGCCUAGGAAAUUGCCCUGAUGUGGGGGAUAACCAUUGGAAACGAUGGCUAAUACCGCAUGAUGCCUACGGGCCAAAGAGGGGGACCUUCGGGCCUCUCGCGUCAGGAUAUGCCUAGGUGGGAUUAGCUAGUUGGUGAGGUAAGGGCUCACCAAGGCGACGAUCCCUAGCUGGUCUGAGAGGAUGAUCAGCCACACUGGAACUGAGACACGGUCCAGACUCCUACGGGAGGCAGCAGUGGGGAAUAUUGCACAAUGGGCGCAAGCCUGAUGCAGCCAUGCCGCGUGUAUGAAGAAGGCCUUCGGGUUGUAAAGUACUUUCAGUCGUGAGGAAGGCGGCGUCGUUAAUAGCGGCGUUGUUUGACGUUAGCGACAGAAGAAGCACCGGCUAACUCCGUGCCAGCAGCCGCGGUAAUACGGAGGGUGCGAGCGUUAAUCGGAAUUACUGGGCGUAAAGCGCAUGCAGGUGGUUUGUUAAGUCAGAUGUGAAAGCCCGGGGCUCAACCUCGGAAUAGCAUUUGAAACUGGCAGACUAGAGUACUGUAGAGGGGGGUAGAAUUUCAGGUGUAGCGGUGAAAUGCGUAGAGA
This 639-nucleotide ribosomal RNA is filed under the name Vibrio antiquarius. Its description in RNAcentral is "bacterial SSU rRNA". It matches the Rfam family "Bacterial small subunit ribosomal RNA", at positions 64 to 696 of the family's 1533-position model. The record is from RNAcentral. Lineage: Bacteria; Pseudomonadati; Pseudomonadota; Gammaproteobacteria; Vibrionales; Vibrionaceae.